UGUAGCCUACGGGGCGCAGCAGUGAGGAAUAUUGGUCAAUGGCCGAGAGGCUGAACCAGCCAAGUCGCGUGAGGGAAGACGGCCCUACGGGUUGUAAACCUCUUUUGUCGGGGAGCAAAGCGAACCACGUGUGGUUCAUUGAGAGUACCCGAAGAAAAAGCAUCGGCUAACUCCGUGCCAGCAGCCGCGGUAAUACGUAGGUGGCAAGCGUUAUCCGGAUUUAUUGGGCGUAAAGGGAACGCAGGCGGUCUUUUAAGUCUGAUGUGAAAGCCUUCGGCUUAACCGGAGGAGUGCAUUGGAAACUG
This 305-nucleotide ribosomal RNA is filed under the name uncultured bacterium. RNAcentral describes it as "bacterial SSU rRNA". It matches the Rfam family "Bacterial small subunit ribosomal RNA", at positions 332 to 635 of the family's 1533-position model. The record is from RNAcentral.